Molecule: transfer RNA, 65 nt
Filed under: Macrogyropus costalimai
Lineage: Eukaryota; Metazoa; Arthropoda; Insecta; Psocodea; Gyropidae
Description: tRNA-Pro
Source: RNAcentral
CAGAGAAUAGUUUAUAAUAAUAAAAUAUUAAACUUGGACUUUAAAAAAGAUUUUAUCUUCUCUGA